CAAUAAGCGGAGGAAAAGAAACUAACAAGGAUUCCCCUAGUAACGGCGAGUGAACCGGGAAGAGCUCAAAUUUGAAAUCUGGCGUCCUCAGGGCGUCCGAGUUGUAAUCUAUAGAGGCGUUUUCCGUGCCGGACCGUGUCCAAGUUCCUUGGAACAGGAUAUCAAAGAGGGUGACAAUCCCGUACUUGACACGACGACCGGUGCUCUGUGAUACGUCUUCUACGAGUCGAGUUGUUUGGGAAUGCAGCUCAAAAUGGGUGGUGAGUUCCAUCUAAAGCUAAAUAUUGGCGAGAGACCGAUAGCGAACAAGUACCGUGAGGGAAAGAUGAAAAGCACUUUGGAAAGAGAGUUAAACAGUACGUGAAAUUGUUGAAAGGGAAACGAUUGAAGUCAGUCGUGACCGAGAGGCUCAGCCGGUUCUGCCGGUGUAUUCCCCUCGGUCGGGUCAACAUCAGUUUUGUCCGGUGGAUAAGGACGGUAGGAAGGUGGCACCCUCGGGUGUGUUAUAGCCGCCGUCGCAUACAUCGGGUGAGACUGAGGAACGCAGCUCGCCUUUAUGGCCGGGGUUCGCCCACGUCCGAGCUAGG
This 587-nucleotide ribosomal RNA is filed under the name Papiliotrema laurentii. RNAcentral's name for it is "LSU rRNA". It matches the Rfam family "Eukaryotic large subunit ribosomal RNA", at positions 44 to 611 of the family's 3401-position model. Lineage: Eukaryota; Fungi; Basidiomycota; Tremellomycetes; Tremellales; Rhynchogastremaceae. The record is from RNAcentral.